GCCAACGGGGAGAGAGCAAUUCAUGGUGAGUCGAAUGUUCUCGAUUGUUGUAAAAUUUUCGUUGAUGAAUAUUUGCGCACUGAGGCUGUCGGCAUCCCUCUCCGAUACGAACAUACGCUGAGUUGGACAUCGCUGAUCGUUUUGGAUUUCCCUUGCCCUGAUUUCACCCGGGAUGCUGACGUCCCCCCUGGGUAUCAUCCCGAGGGCAUCUCCCUCUGAUCUGCGUGGGAAUUGCGACGUACGUCGUGUAGGAUCUUCUUCCUCCCCGAU
Molecule: unclassified non-coding RNA, 270 nt
Filed under: Athalia rosae (coleseed sawfly)
Lineage: Eukaryota; Metazoa; Arthropoda; Insecta; Hymenoptera; Athaliidae
Description: misc RNA ENSAEAG00005011497.1
Source: RNAcentral